This 253-nucleotide ribosomal RNA is filed under the name uncultured bacterium. RNAcentral's name for it is "partial 16S ribosomal RNA". It matches the Rfam family "Bacterial small subunit ribosomal RNA", at positions 524 to 776 of the family's 1533-position model. The record is from RNAcentral.
UACAGAGGUCUCAAGCGUUGUUCGGAUUCAUUGGGCGUAAAGGGUGUGCAGGUGGCGCCGUAAGUCGGGUGUGAAAUUUCGGAGCUUAACUCCGAAACUGCAUUCGAUACUGCGGUGCUUGAGGACUGGAGAGGAGACUGGAAUUUACGGUGUAGCGGUGAAAUGCGUAGAUAUCGUAAGGAAGACCAGUGGCGAAGGCGGGUCUCUGGACAGUUCCUGACGCUGAGGCACGAAGGUCAGGGGAGCAAACGGG